GAGGAAUAUUGGUCAAUGGACGAAAGUCUGAACCAGCCAAGUAGCGUGCAGGAUGACGGCCCUAUGGGUUGUAAACUGCUUUUGUAUGGGGAUAAAGUCAAUCACGUGUGAUUGUUUGCAGGUACCAUACGAAUAAGGACCGGCUAAUUCCGUGCCAGCAGCCGCGGUAAUACGGAAGGUCCGGGCGUUAUCCGGAUUUAUUGGGUUUAAAGGGAGCGUAGGCCGGAGAUUAAGUGUGUUGUGAAAUGUAGACGCUCAACGUCUGACUUGCAGCGCAUACUGGUUUCCUUGAGUACGCACAACGUUGGCGGAAUUCGUCGUGUAGCGGUGAAAUGCUUAGAUAUGACGAAGAACUCCGAUUGCGAAGGCAGCUGACGGGAGCGCAACUGACGCUUAAGCUCGAAGGUGCGGGUAUCGAACAGGAUUAGAUACCCUGGUAGUCCGCACAGUAAACGAUGGAUGCCCGCUGUUGGUACCUGGUAUCAGCGGCUAAGCGAAAGCAUUAAGCAUCCCACCUGGGGAGUACGCCGGCAACGGUG
RNAcentral lists this ribosomal RNA (539 nucleotides) under uncultured bacterium. RNAcentral's name for it is "bacterial SSU rRNA". It matches the Rfam family "Bacterial small subunit ribosomal RNA", at positions 356 to 896 of the family's 1533-position model. The record is from RNAcentral.